AACGAACGCUGGCGGCAUGCCUAACACAUGCAAGUCGAACGAGACCUUCGGGUCUAGUGGCGAACGGGUGCGUAACGCGUGGGAACCUGCCCUUAGGUUCGGAAUAACUCCCCGAAAGGGGUGCUAAUACCGGAUAAUGUCUUCGGACCAAAGAUUUAUCGCCUUUGGAUGGGCCCGCGUUGGAUUAGCUAGUUGGUAGGGUAAAAGCCUACCAAGGCGACGAUCCAUAGCUGGUCUGAGAGGAUGAUCAGCCACACUGGGACUGAGACACGGCCCCGACUCCUACGGGAAGCAGCAGUGGGGAAUAUUGGAGAAUGGGCGAAAGCCUGAUCCAGCAAUGCCGCGUGAGUGAUGAAGGCCUUAGGGUUGUAAAGCUCUUUUACCCGGGAUGAUAAUGACAGUACCGGGAGAAUAAGCUCCGGCUAACUCCGUG
RNAcentral lists this ribosomal RNA (433 nucleotides) under uncultured bacterium. RNAcentral describes it as "partial 16S ribosomal RNA". It matches the Rfam family "Bacterial small subunit ribosomal RNA", at positions 29 to 507 of the family's 1533-position model. The record is from RNAcentral.